Molecule: ribosomal RNA, 206 nt
Filed under: uncultured bacterium
Lineage: Bacteria
Description: partial 16S ribosomal RNA
Rfam family: Bacterial small subunit ribosomal RNA
Source: RNAcentral
AGCGCAGGCGGACCGGCAAGUUGGAAGUGAAAACCAUGGGCUCAACCCGUGAAUUGCUUUCAAAACUGCUGGCCUUGAGUAGUGCAGAGGUAGGUGGAAUUCCCGGUGUAGCGGUGGAAUGCGUAGAUAUCGGGAGGAACACCAGUGGCGAAGGCGACCUACUGGGCACCAACUGACGCUGAGGCUCGAAAGCAUGGGUGCAAACA